AUUGAACGCUGGCGGCAUGCCUUACACAUGCAAGUCGAACGGUAACAGGGUAAGCUGACGAGUGGCGAACGGGUGAGUAAUGUAUCGGAACGUGCCCAGUCGCGGGGGAUAACUGCUCGAAAGAGCAGCUAAUACCGCAUACGACCUGAGGGUGAAAGCGGGGGAUCGCAAGACCUCGGGCGAUUGGAGCUGCCGAGGUCGGAUUAGGUAGUUGGUGAGGUAAAGGCUCACCAAGUCGACGAUCUGUAGCCGGUCUGAGAGGACGACCAGCCACACUGGAACUGAGACACGGCCCAGACUCCUACGGGAGGCAGCAGUGGGGAAUUUUGGACAAUGGGCGCAAGCCUGAUCCAGCCAUGCCGCGUGCGGGAAGAAGGCCUUCGGGUUGUAAACCGCUUUUGUCAGGGAAGAAAAGGUUCUGGCUAAUACCUGGGAGUCAUGACGGUACCUGAAGAAUAAGCACCGGCUAACUACGUG
Molecule: ribosomal RNA, 477 nt
Filed under: uncultured bacterium
Lineage: Bacteria
Description: partial 16S ribosomal RNA
Rfam family: Bacterial small subunit ribosomal RNA
Source: RNAcentral